GGAAGUAAAAGUCGUAAACAAGGUUUCCGUAGGUGAACCUGCGGAAGGAUCAUUAUUGAAUGAAACACUUCUGGCUUUAUGCUGUUGUGCUGGCCCUUUGGGCAAUGUGCACACGGCUCUGGUCACUUGUUUCUUCUGUUCCACCUGUGCACUGCCUGUAGACACGCUGUGUCUAUGAUAUUUGUUAACACACAACAAUGUUAGUUGGCAUGUUAUAUAUAAUAAUAAAAUAUACAACUUUCAACAACGGAUCUCUUGGCUCUC
This 264-nucleotide unclassified non-coding RNA is filed under the name plant metagenome. RNAcentral describes it as "partial contains small subunit ribosomal RNA, internal transcribed spacer 1, and 5.8S ribosomal RNA". The stretch from base 1 to 55 matches the Rfam family "Eukaryotic small subunit ribosomal RNA", at positions 1778 to 1831 of the family's 1831-position model. The record is from RNAcentral.